AGGCAGCAGUGGGGAAUUUUGGACAAUGGGCGAAAGCCUGAUCCAGCAAUGCCGCGUGUGCGAAGAAGGCCUUCGGGUUGUAAAGCACUUUUGUCAGGGAAGAAAACUGUUUGGCUAAUACCCGAAUAGGAUGACGGUACCUGAAGAAUAAGCACCGGCUAACUAC
This 166-nucleotide ribosomal RNA is filed under the name uncultured bacterium. Its description in RNAcentral is "partial 16S ribosomal RNA". It matches the Rfam family "Bacterial small subunit ribosomal RNA", at positions 346 to 504 of the family's 1533-position model. The record is from RNAcentral.